RNAcentral lists this ribosomal RNA (569 nucleotides) under Malassezia furfur. Its description in RNAcentral is "eukaryotic LSU rRNA". It matches the Rfam family "Eukaryotic large subunit ribosomal RNA", at positions 96 to 652 of the family's 3401-position model. The record is from RNAcentral. Lineage: Eukaryota; Fungi; Basidiomycota; Malasseziomycetes; Malasseziales; Malasseziaceae.
AAGAGGGAAGAGCUCAAAUUUGAAAGCUGGUACCUUCGGUAUCCGCGUUGUAACCUCGAGACACGUUUUCCGUGCGGCGCUAUGGACAAGUUCCUUGGAACAGGACAUCGUAGAGGGUGAAAAUCCCGUACUUGCCAUGGAUGUACCGUGCUUUGCGAUACGUGCUCUAAGAGUCGAGUUGUUUGGGAUUGCAGCUCAAAAUGGGUGGUAGACUCCAUCUAAAGCUAAAUAUCGGGGAGAGACCGAUAGCGAACAAGUACCGUGAGGGAAAGAUGAAAAGCACUUUGGAAAGAGAGUUAAAAGUACGUGAAAUUGUCGAAAGGGAAGCGCUUGAAGUCAGCCAUGCCGCUCAGGACUCAGCCUGGCUUUUGCUUGGUGUAUUUCCUGGGUAGCAAGUCAGCAUUGGUUUGGAUCGUCGGAGAAGCAUAGUCGGAAUGUGGCGCCCUCGGGCGUGUUAUAGCCUUCUAUUGGAUACGACGAUCUAGACCAAGGAACGCAGCGCGCCUUAUGGCGGGUCUUCGGACACCUUCGCGCUUAGGAUGCUGGCGUAAUGGCUUUAAGUGGCCCGU